Molecule: long non-coding RNA, 2613 nt
Organism: Daphnia pulicaria
Lineage: Eukaryota; Metazoa; Arthropoda; Branchiopoda; Diplostraca; Daphniidae
Exons: 8
Source: RefSeq, a predicted model, not a curated record
UAAACGAAUGCAGAGUCGCGACUUUCCUGCUGUCCUCUGUUCCACACGUUCCACUGCCACCAAUUAGAUAUAUGGUGUCAUUAAACGAGUUGUUUUGAAAACCCAAGAGUAAUGCUGUUUAAACACACACACACUAGGUAUUUUAAUUUGAACUAAGCCCGCUUUUCUCCGAGUCUGAAAAUCGCGAGUUUUUUCUUGAAUAUUAAGCAUCAUGUCGUGAACUCAUAAAAUGAAAAUGUUUUGUGUUUGUAAACGGCUGACGGUUGGGGGUACCGGGUACCCCUCUCUAGUCUCUACAUCUGAUGGCUGGAGCUACCCUACCCCUUUCUGACGGCUGGGUGUACGGACCCUAUCCUUCCCGGACCCUACCCUUUCCAGAACCGUCAGGCCGCUAGGGGCGCUGUGACGGCCGGGUGUUCAUCCGUUCCGUCCGUCGUCCGUGGAUGCUAAAGGCUGUUACUAGGUCUGCAUUUCUAAAAAGCCGACUGUCCUUCAAACGUUCGAAAUGGCAGAUUUAUUCAUCCACCGAAGAAAUGACUCAAAUGUCAAUUGGUAUUUUUUUAAAACCCAUCCCCAUCCCCAGCAACCUGAAGAAAGAAAAAGGCCAAUUUCCAUGGCCUUCAGAGUUCAGACUCGAAGGUCGCAGAGAUAAUUACGUAAAACAUGUUAUGCAGUGGUGUAGAGGUUGGGUGAGAACGGGAAGUUUUGCAUCAUUAUCAAAAAGGUCCAACAGCCGCAAGGCUUGAGAGGAGGGGUGAGAAAAAGUCGUAUAAUAUGAUGCGAGAGAAAAGUUGACAGGGAUCAGUCGAGCGAGUAUCUCCGACCCGGCAGCAGCUGCAUUCUUCGUCGUAAUAUCAGGUCACAAUCACGGUUAACUAUGCUGUCGUGCUGCUAUGGGUUGUUGUAUCGUCGAUGGCUGGGUCGACCACUGAUGUACCGACGUCUCCUGAGUAAGGCGGAUACCAAACCGCAACGCCACCGCCUUACUACACAACAAUAUACGCAACGACCAGAUACUACACCGAGGUAGCACUGUUGGGUUUACAGUUAAACCACCAAGGAUCCAGAUUAUUACACCACAACUUAAGCUGCUCCUCGAGCUACACUACCAAAGCGCUAGAAUACUACGCCGAGGCACCUACUGAGACUACGCAACUACGUAUGUUGUCCCAACCUACGACACCGAGGCUCCAGCUUAUUACAUCACCAAAGCUGUCGUAAACUAUACUGGAGCGCCCAAGUACGACAGAAAUCAGUCAAGAUAGCUUCUCGGACACCCAACCCCGUAGCUCCGAAGUUUUGAAUAAACUUCGUUUGAAACGGUGGUACGACAAAGAGUGAAGACGAAUUCUACUGCAAUCGCGUCGAAUUGUGAAAAGCAAAGAUAACACAUUCGUACGUGUACACCGCGCCGUUAAACUUGACAUUGUCGGUCGGCAAGCCUCACUUGUCGAUGGCCGUACCAUCACCUACGACCAGUGCGUUAUUGCCACAGGUGGCAAACGAAAAUCUUUUCCAAUCCCUGAGUGGUGCCCUUAAAGAUGCCUACGAGCACGUCACGCUGUCCCGCAACAUCGAUGGCGCCGCUAACACAUGCCGAGUCCUCUAAAUAUUUGAGCCAAUGGACAACCGAGAAGGAGAAAGCGGAAAGUGUUAAUGUGUUGCCCAAAGCUAAUGUUGAGGGUGCAAUUUUGGAAGAUUACAAGAUCGCAUUGACCUUAAACGAUGGUCAAAAGGAUUUAAACUGACCAUGUCGUCGCUGCUGUCGGUUGGGACGCAAACAUGGAUUUGGCUGUCGCUUUUGGCUUGGAAAUAGAUUCCAAUUUUGGUGGUUAUCGAGUCAAUACCGAACUUGAAGCACGAUCGAACGUCUAGUUGGCUGGAGAUGUUGAGUUCUUUUGUGAUAUCAAAUUGGGUCGUCGUCGCAUGGAACCUUACCACCAUGCUGUUGUAUCAGAGCGAUUGGCUGGAGAGAACAAUACUGGCAACGAAUCGUGGAUGAACAACUGCAGUGCACUGUCACCAAGUGCAUUCUUCGUCGUAUUAUUAGUACGCAAUCGGUUAACUAUAGCGUCGUGCUGCUGUUGAUUGUUGAUUGUCCGGUAUGGCGGAUACCGAAUCGUAAUGCCGCCGCCUUACUACACAAUAACAGCAUACGCAAUUACCAGUUACUAGACCGCCAAGGCACCAGAGUAUUACACCACACCUUAUGAUGCUACAAGCUACUACACGAAGCCCUCAAGUUUAACUUUGCCCCGAGUUACAUCAAUAAGGAGUUCGACUACUACACCGUGGUUUGCAAGUACUACACCACCCAGGUAUUGGAGUCCUACACGACUACGUAUUCCACCCCAGCCUACUACACCGAGGCCUUAAGUACUACUCUCUGCCCAGAUACUACACCGAAGCUCCAGCUUAUUACGUCAACCAAGAGUACCACACCUAAACGCACAAAUACUACUUUGCCCCGAGCUACGCAACUACAACUGAGGCGGUCCACUAUUACGCAGCAAAAUUCUUACUACACAGCGGCUGCUCCUUCGUACUACGUUGAUCCGAAAUACUAUGACUCAAGUUUGCUACACCACAACCUACGCCACUCCUAGCUACUAC